This 497-nucleotide ribosomal RNA is filed under the name uncultured bacterium. RNAcentral describes it as "partial 16S ribosomal RNA". It matches the Rfam family "Bacterial small subunit ribosomal RNA", at positions 28 to 507 of the family's 1533-position model. The record is from RNAcentral.
GACGAACGCUGGCGGCGUGCCUAAUACAUGCAAGUAGAACGCUGAAGAGAGGAGCUUGCUCUUCUUGGAUGAGUUGCGAACGGGUGAGUAACGCGUAGGUAACCUGCCUUGUAGCGGGGGAUAACUAUUGGAAACGAUAGCUAAUACCGCAUAACAAUGGAUGACACAUGUCAUUUAUUUGAAAGGGGCAAUUGCUCCACUACAAGAUGGACCUGCGUUGUAUUAGCUAGUAGGUGAGGUAAUGGCUCACCUAGGCGACGAUACAUAGCCGACCUGAGAGGGUGAUCGGCCACCCUGGGACUGAGACACGGCCCAGACUCCUACGGGAGGCAGCAGUAGGGAAUCUUCGGCAAUGGGGGCAACCCUGACCGAGCAACGCCGCGUGAGUGAAGAAGGUUUUCGGAUCGUAAAGAUCUGUUGUAAGUCAAGAACGGGUGUGAGAGUGGAAAGUUCACACUGUGACGGUAGCUUACCAGAAAGGGACGGCUAACUACGUG